CCCCCCUUUCGGGCUUAUGUAUAAUCUAGCUAUGACUGGUUAAAAGAGUUGUAACCUCCUUCUGUCCAAAGGAAGGAGUUAGAAGUUCAAUAAGAUGUGAAAUUUUUGUGAACAGAUCUUGUUGUCCAAAAUGGGAAGAAGCGAUGUGCCGAAAAUUUCAGAAAAUUAACUUUGUUGAUUAUCCAGAUGUGGCAAUUUUUCAAGAUGAAGAACUCAUGUACAAAAAUAUUUAUUAUUUGUAUUUAUAUAACAUAUAUAUAUUUGUAAACAUAUCAUAAGAUAUAAUAUAUAUGUAUUAUAUAUAAGGAUGUAAAAUAUAUUUCUAUUAAUAUUAUAUAUUUAUAUAUAUAACACAUAAUAUAACAGAAGCAAGGAGAAGAAGAGUAUUGGGCUAAGAUGAAAAGAUUUGGGAUUAGGAGCAAGAUGAAUGGCUAAGGUGGUGUCACCUUCAACCUGGGUGAUCUUCGGUGGUUGGUGGAGCAGUUAGAGGUGAUUGUGGAUUGAUAGAAUAAGAAAGAAAAAAAAGGGGGCACCAGCGAUCAUUCGAGAGACUUCGAUUCCAGUUUAUCGUUCUCUCUUCUAUCUUUGAUUCAUGCCCAUUUACAAAGAAACACGGUUUGAAAAUUUGACAUGGUGGUGCCUACGUCAGACUACAUCAUUGGUCCCAGCUUCCCAAGGAAAUCUUUCAAGAACUUGGAAAUUCUCCCAGAUAACCUUUACUUGAAGUUAUGGAACCUGAACAGCAAGAGAAUCCUUCCCCAAAUGCGAUGUGGUAGAUCAACCCUCUACAUUUGAUGCACAAGGACUCCUUCUCAAGUGGUAAUAGCUUUCCUUAAUUUACACGUGGGAUUCCCCUCUUUCCAAGUUGAAGUACCUUCUAUUCCUCGCCCAAUUUUAAUUUCUGCCUAAUUUUAGAGCAAUAUUUUCAGUAAGUUUCCCUCCAACGUUAACCUCAGUCGCCCACCAUGAGUCACGCUAGUCUAUCACUGAAAUCCCCAAGGGACCGUUUGAUGGCCUGGAAAUGUGGAAUUGGAAAUAAAUUUUUGGAAAUAUAUUUCUUGAAAAAAAUGAGUGGGAAAAAUCUUUCCGAUUCCAAUUUUGGUGUGUGUGUGAUGACUGAGAAAUAUAUUUCCAAAAAUAUAUUUCUGAGUUUGAUGGUAUAGAAAUAUAUUUCUAGAUUUCCAGAAAAUUAAUUCUUGGUUUGAUAAUAAGGAAACAUUUUUCCAGAUUUACAACAAUUAGAUAAAUAACCACACCAAAUAGAUAAAUAACACUCAAUGUAUUCAGAUCCCAAUGAUGGAGACGAAGAUGACGGUGAGGAAGAAGAAUUUGCAUGUGGCACUACAACAAAUGGAGAUAAAACAAGUUAAAACAUAGAUGAAUAUAUUCACCAUAGAAAUAAGAAACAGCUUCAGCUGAAUAAAUAGGAGCAUCUUCGGUAGCUCACACGCACAGCAACUAAUACCUCUUGAUGAAAAGCUUGUGAAAUUGCACAAAGAACAACAGUUACAAUUAUGUAACAACUAACUAAAGUCAGGAAAUGGGAAGCUACCUUUUCAUUAUGUUCACAUGAUGACAAAUUCUCUCAAUUCAACAACAAAUUAAUAUUGACAAUAAGCAAACUACAUAGCCAUUAGUC
Nymphaea colorata (pocket water lily) is the source of this 1639-nucleotide long non-coding RNA. RefSeq lists it as uncharacterized. The transcript is spliced from 3 exons. The record is from RefSeq and is a predicted model, not a curated record. Lineage: Eukaryota; Viridiplantae; Streptophyta; Magnoliopsida; Nymphaeales; Nymphaeaceae.